UACAGAGGGGGCAAGCGUUGUUCGGAAUUACUGGGCGUAAAGGGCGUGUAGGCGGCCUGCUAAGUCGAACGUGAAAUCCCCGGGCUCAACCCGGGAACUGCGUCCGAUACUGGUUGGCUUGAAUCCGGGAGAGGGAUGCGGAAUUCCAGGUGUAGCGGUGAAAUGCGUAGAUAUCUGGAGGAACACCGGUGGCGAAGGCGGCAUCCUGGACCGGCAUUGACGCUGAGGCGCGAAAGCCAGGGGAGCAAACGGG
RNAcentral lists this ribosomal RNA (253 nucleotides) under uncultured bacterium. Its description in RNAcentral is "partial 16S ribosomal RNA". It matches the Rfam family "Bacterial small subunit ribosomal RNA", at positions 524 to 776 of the family's 1533-position model. The record is from RNAcentral.